UGCACAUAAAAAAUAAACACCAAAGUGACAAAAUAAAAAUAACUGAAAUAUUUGUACAUAUGUAGGAAUGUACCCACGUGCACUUCCUGCAGUAUUGGUUGUACCUGUUUGACAAGACAGGUAAGCAGUGCUACCGUAGUAUUUAAAUGGUACAGAUGUAAAAGUGUGCUGUCGCUGACCACAUAUGAUGUUAACCAGGCAAUGACCGUACCGCCGACUUAUUUACUGUGUCGGUGUCUUGGAAGUUCACAGGAUUGUAGACUGUGGACCAGAGAAGAAGACCAGAUGUAAAUGUUGAACAAAAGGAAGUCUUCAAGAAAAAAUUUCCAAGUAACCAUCAAACAGUGGAGAAAGUUCAACUAACUGCAGAACCAAAGAAGAGAACAAAAUUGCCAAAAGAAACCCCUGGACACACAGCAACGCUUAUGGCCAGAGCAAACUUUCUAAAG
Long non-coding RNA from Scleropages formosus (Asian bonytongue), 449 nucleotides. RefSeq lists it as uncharacterized. The transcript is spliced from 4 exons. The record is from RefSeq and is a predicted model, not a curated record. Lineage: Eukaryota; Metazoa; Chordata; Actinopteri; Osteoglossiformes; Osteoglossidae.